AUUGAACGCUGGCGGCAUGCCUUACACAUGCAAGUCGAACGGCAGCACGGGUGCUUGCACCUGGUGGCGAGUGGCGAACGGGUGAGUAAUACAUCGGAACGUACCUUAUCGUGGGGGAUAACGCAGCGAAAGCUGUGCUAAUACCGCAUACGCCCUGAGGGGGAAAGCGGGGGAUCGCAAGACCUCGCGCGAUUAGAGCGGCCGAUGCCUGAUUAGCUUGUUGGUGGGGUAAAAGCCCACCAAGGCGACGGUCAGUAGCUGGUCUGAGAGGACGAUCAGCCACACUGGGACUGAGACACGGCCCAGACUCCUACGGGAGGCAGCAGUGGGGAAUUUUGGACAAUGGGGGCAACCCUGAUCCAGCAAUGCCGCGUGAGUGAAGAGGGCCUUCGGGUUGUAAAGCUCUUUUGUCAGGGAAGAAACACCGGCUCUAACACAGUCCGGGAAUGACGGUACCUGGAGAAUAAGCACCGGCUAACUACGUGCCAGCCGCCGCAGUAA
This 501-nucleotide ribosomal RNA is filed under the name uncultured bacterium. Its description in RNAcentral is "partial 16S ribosomal RNA". It matches the Rfam family "Bacterial small subunit ribosomal RNA", at positions 29 to 523 of the family's 1533-position model. The record is from RNAcentral.